This 417-nucleotide ribosomal RNA is filed under the name uncultured bacterium. RNAcentral describes it as "bacterial SSU rRNA". It matches the Rfam family "Bacterial small subunit ribosomal RNA", at positions 362 to 776 of the family's 1533-position model. The record is from RNAcentral.
UAUUGGUCAAUGGGCGGAAGCUUGAACCAGCCAUCCCGCGUGCAGGAAGACAGCCCUAUGGGUUGUAAACUGCUUUUCCAGUGGGCGAAACACUCGUACGUGUACGAGAUUGACGGUACACUGGGAAUAAGCAUCGGCUAACUCCGUGCCAGCAGCCGCGGUAAUACGGAGGAUGCAAGCGUUAUCCGGAUUUAUUGGGUUUAAAGGGUGCGUAGGCGGAUGAAUAAGUCAGUGGUGAAAGGCUGCAGCUUAACUGUAGACUUGCCGUUGAUACUGUUUAUCUUGAGUAUGGUCAAGGCAGGCGGAAUGUGUAAUGUAGCGGUGAAAUGCUUAGAUAUUACACAGAACACCGAUUGCGAAGGCAGCUUGCUGGGCCAUUACUGACGCUGAUGCACGAAAGCGUGGGGAGCGAACAGG